UUUUUUUUUUUUUUUGAUACACAAUCAGGAAAUAUAUUAACAGCACCUGCCGCCUAGCAAAAGGGCGCACCAAAGUAUAAAAAAUGCAUACAAUAGGUGUCUAAAGGCAUAAUACUACCAUGAGACUAGAAACAUGCAAAUUAAGUUUAUAUAUGUAGAAUACUUUUUUUUUUUUGAUAGGUAAAACUCUACUUCUUUUUAUAUAUCUAGAAUACAUAUUACUACAUUUGAAAAUAAUAUUUUCUUAGUAAAUUAAUAAAAACACUAAGGGUCUAUUUGGUAGUGGAAAUGAAAAUGGUUUUCCAAAAACUUCUCGUCUUCAAAGACGAAGACAAUCAACAUGUUUGUUUUUGGAUUAUUCAAUCAUCAAAGUGCCUAUAUUCCGAAAAUGUCAAAAAGUAUCUUAACAUUUUCUAAAAAUGAACCAUAUUUAGAAGAUUUUUUUGGAAACAUGCUACCAAAUAUGUUUUCUGUGUGAUUAAAUUUUUUUCAGCAGAAAAUAGUACUUGUUCAUAGUACCAAACAGGCAGCAAGCUUUGCUUAAACUUCAGGAGCUUGUAGUUUCAAAAAGUAAGUUUUGAUAUCUUUUUUUUAAUAUAUAAGUAAAGAAGAGUAAAUAGAUUAAAAAGAGGCACCAAAAUAGUGACCCAUGAAAUACAAGAUAAAUACACCCACCCUCACACAACUCAAACAAAAAGAGUUGCCAAAAUGGAGGUACAAAAAACAUAUAUAGAAUUGUAGGAUUUUAUUUGUGCGUCUCUACACUAGUGUUCCAGCAACUUGUAAAGUAAGAUAACAUGAAACAUGUUGGAUUUGCAUUCUCAUAUCUGUAUGCAAAUGGUUUAUUGAAGCCAAAUUUUACAACAUUAUGGCAUAUUCCCCAGAACAUUUUAUUUAUCUUAUCCAAUGAUCAAACCUUUUAUGCAUCUCGUUUCUCUAAGACAUGUAGCAUGUCUCCAAGCCAACCAGAUGAAAUCAUCAGCAUAAUAGGGGCAACCUCUUGACCAGAUUGAUCUGUGCAAAUUACUUUCAGAAAGUUGCAUCUACAGUAAUAUGCUACAUUUCCAAGCAAAACAGGACAUAGAAGCUACCUAGUAGUGUGUCUUUUUCAGAGGAAACUGAAUCUGUAUUGUAAAGGUAUAUGUACAAAAGAACAAACGAUGAGAAGCCUUUGGGGCUGAUUUUCUCUGCGAGGACCCAUCUGUCGGAGGGCUUCAUGAACAUAAUUAGCAAACCCAAAUAAAUACCACUUGCAAGAACUAAGAAGUGGUUUCAUCAUGGAAGCCAUAUUUAUUAUUAUGUUUUUAAUAUCUAUAAAAUUCAAAACUACUCAGAACCGUUCUCUUUUAUCUUCCAUUUAUAAUAAUUUCUGUUUAAAAAUAAAUAAUAAAAUGAGAAUGCAAUGCUAAGGCCAUAUGCAUCAGCAAUACCAACUGCCAGGCUUCCUGCCAUUUUCUCAUGAAAUUAAUAAGCUAAAAAUCAAAGGUAGAAAAGGCUGAGAUUCAAAAUAGGACACACACAUGCACAAUUUCAAUGGCAAGGUAAAGUAUUGACAUAAAAACAUAGUGAUUGUUAAGUUAUUGGAUUAAAAAGAACAUGUUCAGAGCAACUGUGGUGUGAUAACUGCAACUAAAUGAGGAUUCAUGUUUUCAAAAAAGGGAUAAAAAUAAAGGAAAGAAAGAAGAAAAGCAAACAUGUUAGUAAAAAGGCACCGAGAUAUGAUGAUAACCUUGUAAAAAUAUAGGUAAAAUAAGUUGAACUUGCACAUCAUAAUGAAGUUGAUAUUGCUGUUUGCUUUCUCCUCUUGUAACAAGUUAUUUUGUUGCCACAUAAACAUAUGAAAAAUACAAAAAAAUAAAUAAAUAAAUAAAUAAAAUAAGAAGAAGAAAGAAGACGCCGAAGAAGAAGAAAACUCACUCCAAUCGCUAACAAAGUGAUAUACUAAUCAAAAACAAUGGCCACCCACAAAAACUAUAUAUCAAUAAGAAAGAGCUUUUCCCAGAUAUUACUCACCCAUAACUUUUGGAAACUUCCUAGGAUUUGCAAUGCAUGCCUCCAAAAGAAUGAUAAACGCCUGUACCACUUCCUACAGAAGUGAACCAGAGCUGCUUUAAAUGAUUCCUUGGCUGAUACUGGAAAACUAGCCCGUGGCUCCUCUUUAUCAAUUUUAAUGACUGCAUCAUCAACUGCUGGCUUAGAGCUUUUACUGUUGGUAGAGCUUUCUGCUUGAGGUUCAAGGUGUUCUGUAUCACUUCUCCAAAAUUUCAAUGCCAAUUUGCCCCUUCUAGCACCUGAACCAAUCCAAUUUAACCAAACCUUCGCAGCCAAAAACGUCAAUCCAUCUCCAUCCACAUUAACGUUCAAAUUGUCAGUAACAGUUUCCUUGUCAGGAACAUUGAUUGCUUUAUAUUCUGACUCAUUUCGUGACCACAGGCCAGCACUAGUUAUCUAACCCAAUAGGAAAAGGUGGUUAGCAUAUGCAUCAUAGCCAGUAAAAUACACAUUAGAAUCUCAAAAAUAAGUCAAAAGGUCUGUUAAAAACAAAAAGAUGCAUACUUGUCCAUGUCUCUGAAUAACUAUAAUGAUUAAUGAUGAUUUAUGAUGAAAGGGUUAACCAAAAAAUAUUGAAUAAACUAAAUAGAUGAGCAUAGUUAUGGCACCCAAUUUGAGUUUCAAAUAAAGCAAUCCCCAAUAAUCCCAUAAACUAACAAAAAACAGCAGGAAUUAAUGAAAAUUGAAUUAAGGUAAGCUUGGAAAUUUUAAUUCAAAAAUUUAACCAUCAGUGGUGGAUUCUCCAACCCACCAACUAAAGUUUAGGUGCAAAGCAGCUCAACUUCUUUGGGAAGUAAAUUGAGAAAUUUGCAAGCAAGAAAUACAAAAGAAAGGAAAAAAGGGAAAUAGGUAAAAAGAAGAAGCUUAAGUUACAAUACCUAGUAGAUCAUAUACCUUAAUUUGAAUGAGCUGGGCUUCUGUUGUUUCAACUCCAGAGAACUCACUGGAACAACCAGGCUUCAUACACAGAAAAAUUAAGUUUUAAAUUAGAAGGUUCAAAACCUAUUAGAAACAUAUCAUUAUGGAACAAAAAAUGGAAAUUGGCAUGAUGAAAAUUAGGUAGAAAGUAGAAUGCAUCUACAGAAACCUCAACCAGUUAGUCUCAAAUUUUCCAAUCUCAAACAGCAAGACCUAAACAAACUCAGAAAAAAAAAAAGGAGCGUAUUCAGACUAGGGGCCUUGCAAAUUCAUCAUUCUGUUAUUAUUAAUUUGAAUUAUAUUCCUAUUUUCUGCUAUCUUUUACGAGACAAAACAUUAACAGCUGAAUCAUAACCUUGGAUCAUUUGUACCAUUAUCAUUAGCUACAUCUAUUUUGAAAGAAAGAUAGUCCUAUAUAGCACUUUUCCAGCAAGGACAUGUUUUUCAUGGCAUGGUAGUGCAGAAAAGCCCCUUCUAGAGAGAGAGAGAAGAGAUGGGGCAGGUACUUUUUAUUUUUUAGCCCACUUGGAAAGCAACAGAAUAUAUCGUCCCCAAGAUCCUUUUCUUUUCUUUUCUUUUUCUUUUUUAAUCUUUUUUUGACUGUUGGGUGGAAUAGAACCUCUAGGCCUCAAGGGGCAUCCAAAAGCUCGGUUUUUUAAGCCCAAAAACAACCAAAACUACAGGUAAAGCACGAUCAAAUGAUUGUUGGAAACUUAUGUACCAAUUUCUUAAUGCCUAAACACAGCCAAAACCAAAUGCCAAGCAUAAUUAAAUGAUUUUUGGAGGGUUACUUAUCAAUUCACUCUGAUAACAGAACAUACUAUUCAUCAUUUCCAUGUUUUUUUGAGCCUCAAAUGCAACUAAAAACUACAUGCAAAGCACAAUCAAACAACUUCCAGCUGCUUAUCCACCAAAUUCGCACUGGCAACAGAAUAUACCAUCUCCUAAAUAAUUUCUCAAGCCUAAUUACAUCUGAACCAGUACGGAAAUAAUUAUUAACAAUUCGCCAGCCCCAAAUAAUAUAUACAAUCCCUAAAAUCCAAUUUUCAAGCCCCGGCUACAAAGGAAACAAUACACAAAGCAUGGUUAAUCACUGUUUCAGUUUCUCAUUUUCCAAAGCUGGUCAUCCCAAUUAAUAAACCUCAAACCCCCAAAAAAAUUCCAAUUUUCCAAAUUGCGAGAAUUCAAUAAUGCAAAAUUACUCAAUUAAGCACAACAAACACACAACACAAAAACCAAUUGGAAUCACAAUCGCAAUAACCUUAAAUUUGAAAAACAACAAACUUUUCCAACAAAACCCAUAAAUAACAAAUAAAUUAUAAAAAAAAAACUCCAACAAGCACCUGUUGGACGUAAUUGGCGUGCAUAACAACGAGAAUACAAAAGAGAGUGAUGGCCACAAAGAGGUAAAUGUAUUCGAGAGAAGCUCUGACUCUGGGAGUCAGCAUCUGGGAGAAGCGCUCCUGAACCCUAAUGAAGGUCUGUUCUGGAUCCAUCUCUGCCUCUCUCUCUCUGUCAAACUGCAGGGCUUUUCCUCUUGGGCAUGUGCCCUAGUUGUUUAGGGCUAGGGUUUGCAAAAGAGAGUGAUAAAAGAAGCAGUCUAUGUGCGCUUUGAGGAUGCAGGGUUAGGGCGUUGAAGAGGUCGCAAGGCGUUGAAGAAGAAGAAGAAAGAAGAAGAGUAGUGGGGCCGUGGGGGCGUUUUCUUGCUUUUAUUGUUGCCACGUGGCGACUAUGAGUUGCAAAGUUGUGGGACCCACUGUUUUGUGCCAAUCCCUUCUCAUUUUAUUAAAAAAUUCUUCAGUUGUUAAGAGUAGCUAAUUGAGAGUGUUCAGUGAUAGCCGUGAUUCUCCAUCAACUGUGUAUGAAGUUGAAAGCAAUGUUUUAAAAAAUUGGAAUAGAUGAUUGAACCGCAUGGAAUCUGUCACGUGAUAAAUAUAUUAAUUUUAUAUUCUUAAAAUUAUAAAAAAAAUUAAUAUAUUUAUCAAAUUAAAUCAUGGAUCAAUAAAAUUUACUAAUAUUUUAAAUUCUAUUAAAUAAAAUAAGUAUAAUAUUUAAAUUUGAAAAUAUAUACUAAAAAUGAAAGAAAAUUUUUCUUAUAUGUAGGAAGUUAUAUACUUAUAUGCUUGUAAUUCUAUUGUUUUAUAAUUCUAAAAAAUAAUUAUAUAUAUAUAUAUAUAUAUAUAUAUAUGUAUAUAUAAUUAUUAUUAUAAUUUUUUUUAUAAAAAAAUUAUGUUAUUUUAUUUAUUAUUUUGUAGAUUUAAGCCAUACAACAUAAGUUGACUAGUGGAGUCUUCUUCACCCCUUUAAUCAAAGUUGAAGCUCCCACGCAUUACAUUUGGUGGACUUUUCAUUAAAUGGUCCAUUAUCCCCGUUGUGAAGCAAAAGGUUUAGGUGGACCAUUAUCCAAAAAAGAAAAAAUAACUUAAAAGAUACACUGAAUCAGUUCAAGAUCCAAUCAAUGAUUUCAUCAAUUGAAUUGGUCAAUUUAAUUCGAUUUUCAAAACAUUAGUUGAAAGUUUGAGAUAUUGUUAUGAAACUAUCUAAAUGUUGAAUUGACAUGUCUAAUUUGAUUUUUAAAACAUUGGUUGAAAGUUUGAGAUCUUGUGUCAUCUUGGGGAGCGGGGAGGGGUGGAGAAAUUCAAUUGCAAAAAAGGUAAGCGAUACAUGUGGAAAACCACUCAUAGAAAAUAAUGUUACCCAAAAACUUUGUGGAUGUAAAACUCAAAGGAUCAAGAGAUAAUAGAGCUCAAAUCUACUGGAUUGAAGAAAAGAUACACAGAAUUACUUGACAAAAGCCAUCUUUAAGGCUUACACCUCAUAACCUAUAUCAUUCUCAUUUUUGCAAUGAAAUGUCAUACAUGUUCCCUAGUGGACUCUUUAAUGCCUUGAGGUGAUGUGGAUCUCACUCAUGAACCCAAGAAAAAUUAAGAAGUAUUUUUGAGAGUAUCCAGAUACAAGAAAGCUAAUAAUCUUUCUUCCAAAAUUCGCAUAUAUAUCAAAAGUCAUCUUUAAGGCUUACACCUCAUGACCUAUAUCAUUCUCAUUUUUGCAAUGAAACGCCAUAUGUGCUACUUAGUGGACUCUUUAGUGCCUUUAGGCAAUGUGGAUCUCUCUCACAAACCCAAGCAAAAUUAUGAAACAUUUUGAGAGUAUCAAGAUACAAGAAAGCUAAUAAUCUUUCUUCCAAAAUUCACACAUAUAUAUAGAUAGAUAGAUAGAUAGAUAGAUGAAACCUUAGUAGGCCAAAAAAAUUUCAAAAACUAAAUUCCAAAAAUGGAAAAAAUUCUAGUGGACCAAUUUUUUUUCAAAAAACUAAAUUUAAAAAAUGGAAAGAAUUAAGAUAUCAUUGAAUUAAUUUUUUGAAAAUUCUACUACAAAUGCUUGAGUAUUGGGUAAGAGCGUUUGAGAGCAAGUUUAAGCUCUUGAGCAUAGGUUCGAGCACUUUAGUGCUCAAUCAAUUAUUUCUUUUAAAACAUAUAACUUGAAACUCAUUUUAAAUACCUUAAAGUCCACAUUAUGUUGCUUGUUCCAAAGUAUUAGCAUUUAUGAAUCUUUUUAUGCUUACCUACACUAUCUUUAAUUGAAUUUGUAGUUAUCUCAUGUUUUUAAUAGUGUAAGUCACAAGAAAAAAUAAAAAGUCUAAGGAUGAAAUGAACAAAAUUGUUAAACUUAAACUAAACAAUUUAAUGUACUAACUAUUUUCUCAUUUGGUAAUUUUGUAACAAAAUAUAGAUUAUUUAAACUUUUAAUACUCUCAUGCAAAGUUUGCAAAUCUCUUAAUAUCACUUAUCCAAACAAAUCAUCAUAAAAGUUGAUGAUCUCUCAAUGUCACUUGUUCUAAUCAAUCAUUUUAUAAUUUGAUCUUUAAUGUUCCCAACCCAUUAGACGACUUUUGAAGCAUGGAAGCAUGUGAUCUACACACACUAAACCAAGAAUACUUGUGAAAAGUAGCAUGUGGAAAUAGAUAAAUAUAUAAACCAAAUAAAUAUCAACAUCUAAACAAAUCUCUUCUUUUUUUUUGUCACAAAAUUGACAAUGUAAAAAAUAUAGAAUGAUAAACACAUGAGAGACAAUAAAAACAUGGAGAUAUAAGAUAUAAAUUAGUUCAAGAUACAAUCAAUGAAACAAAACAAUCUACCCAAAAUACAUCGAAAUCAAAACACCAAGUUUUGUACUAAGUAACUCAACCUCUUCCCCUAAGGCAAGAAUCGAGAUUCAUGUAAAAAGGUGUGAUAUUUUGGGUGUUGAUGAUAAGGUGGGUGAGUCAACAUAGACUUGGAAACCUGAAUAUGGUUCUAAAAAGGGCACUCAAUUCCUAAUGCCCUUAACUAACUAGUUAGGAGUCAAUGGCCUUGAUGUUUGCUACAUGGGUUAGAAUGGAUUAGCACCGUACGUUGCAUCCACCUAUGAAAAAAAUGGGAAUUGAAGAAAAAGAUUGUGACUGAAGUUCUAAGUUAAGCAUGGUGCUCCAAAGAUCCAUAGGCUCUUUUGACCUAAAGAUCAGUGAAGUUUAAAACCUUAAUGGCAAUGACUUUUAUACCUAGGUGCUAAUGAACUCUUCACCAAAGGUUAGUAAGGAAGAUUUUUUAGCAGGGGUGAUUUUCAGAAUCUUUGGGGAAUUUGGGGUAUUGGCCCUUAGCAUAUUGGACUUUGAACAAAGGAUUGAUGAAGGAACUUAAACAAAGCAAAUUGUCAAACUUAAACAAAGUAAAUUAUCUAAUCAAGCAUAUUUUGCUCCUUCUUCAUUGUACUUUGCUCAUUUUUUUCAUCAACAUUACUAGGGGGUUAGCAAUGGCUUUGUGGAGGGUGUGAUUGAUGUUAUAUCUUACAUGAUAAUAAGGGCAAAAAUCAUCUUAAGUUUGAUGUUAACAUUAAAAAUGUUUUCGAACUUGUUAAGUACAUGUUACCUUGUGUAUGCUCAAUUUUAUCACAUUUUCCAUUGGUUGUUAAUGUUUACAAGUAUUUUUCAUGAAUAAUUAUGAUAUUGGGAAGCUAUUAGAUUAUUUAGAAUGCAAUAAAGAGGUAUGAGUAGGGUCGAAGGAUCAAAGUGACAUGAAGAUCAAUGAUGUUGUCUUAUUUUGAUCAAAAUGUCAAGUCUUGAUACUUGAAAAUUAGAGUUUAGGGGCCCCUAUGAAGGUAUCUCAUGCACUUAAUGAUGGAAGUCAUUCUAAGUUAAGACAACCAAUAUUAAACCCUUAAUAUUAUAAUUUGGAAAGGGAAUAGGUAGUGUGUACUUUAAGAAAUUUGUAAAGAGGUCCAAUUAACAAGUACGUGGCGUUAGGUUAAAUUAAGUUGGGCUUGGGUUGAAAAUUCUCCAACUAAAAGCACCUAUAAGUAGUCUUGGUUGAGUUACCUUGAUUGAGGGUUUUUUUAUAGGACAAAGGGAGCCCAAAGGAUCCCCUUAUGGUUAACACUCUUUCAAAUUUUGCAUGUUAAAUUUUUAGGUCAAGUUCAUUUAGUUUUUCCUUUGUUUUAUAAAAAAAAAUCAUAAACCAUUUUCUCAAACCUUUCAAACCUUUUCAUCUCCCCUACAUCCUAUGAUCACCUUUUUGAGGUUUAACACCUAAUUCAUUGGGAUUUUGAAAACACAAUCAACUCUUUAUACUUAGGGAAUUGCAUUUUAACAUAAAUAUUAGGGAACAAUCAAGUUUUUGGCAUGGGAGAAUGCAUUAUAACGACUACAACUAAUUUUAGUAAAUGUUUAAUUGGUUGUGAUGUUAAUCACAACCUGUUGAAUUUUUUCCAGCUUCAUUUCCUUUUAUUUCAUUUUUUUUUCAAUUGUACAUAUUAGUUUCAAUUUUCCUUAUUCAAUCAUUUAGUGAUUUUGGUAGGUUUUUUGGACUGUGUUACUUGAGGUGUUGUAUGUUUGUGGCUAACUUAACUAGACCAAAUUAGACUAGAGAUAGUCAAGGCCGAUUGGUUAGAUUCGUAUCAACCCUUCCAGCAUAGUUGAAUAUGGUAGCAAUCAUGGUAAGAAUAAGGGGAAUGAGAGUUCUCAAAUUCAAACCCUUAGAGAUUACCUCCAACCACUAUGGCAAGUGCUUCUUCAUGCAUUGUAAUUCCUUAUAAUUCUUUAUCAUUUUAUAUAAUUAUGUUUGGUAUGAUUCAACUACUACCCAAAUUUUUAGGACAGGGAGAAUCCUUGCAUGAAUCUUAAAGAAUCUUUAUCAUUUCCUUUUAUUUCAUUUUUUGUUUCAAUUGUACAUAUUAGUUUCAAUUUUCCUUAUUCAAUCAUUUAGUGAUUUUGGUAGGUUUUUUGGACUAUGUUACUUGAGGUGUUGUAUGUUUAUGGCUAACUUAAAUAGACCAUAUUAGACUAGGGAUAGUCAAGGCCGAUUGGUUAGAUUUGUAUCAACCCUCCUAACCCUUCCAGCAUAGUUGAAGAUGGUAGCAAUCAUGGUAAGAAUGAGGGGAAUGAGAGUUCUCAAAUUCAAACCCUUAGAGAUUACCUCCAACCACUAUGGCAAGUGCUUCUUCAUGCAUUGUAAUUCCUUAUAAUUCUUUAUCAUUUUAUAUAAUUAUGUUUGGUAUGAUUCAACUACUACCCAAAUUUUUGGGACAGGGAGAAUCCUUGCAUGAAUCUUAAAUAAUCUUUAUCAUUUCCUUUUAUUUCAUUUUUUUUUCAAUUGUACAUAUUAGUUUCAAUUUUCCUUAUUCAAUCAUUUAGUGAUUUUGGUAGGUUUUUGGGACUGUGUCACUUGAGGUGUUGUAUGUUUGUGGCUAACUUAAAUAGACCAAAUUAGACUAGAGAUAGUCAAGGCCGAUUGGUUAGAUUCGUAUCAACCCUCCUAACCCUUCCAGCAUAGUUGAAGAUGGUAGCAAUCAUGGUAAGAAUGAGGGGAAUGAGAGUUCUCAAAUUUGAACCCUUAGAGAUUACCUCCAACCAUUAUGGCAAUCACUUGCAUAUUCUUAGUGCACUCUUGUAAAUCAUCCUAGCUUUCUCUUGUACUUGAACCAUCCUUAAGCUAGGUUGAGAGUUUCAUCUUUGUGUAAACUGAGUGUGAAAGCCUUCAAGUGGUUCAAAUCUUGAAGAGAUUGUGUAAGAGCCCAUUGGAGCCGAAAUCCAAGUGUAAGAAGAUUGAAAGAUUGAUUGAAGUUUCAAGAUUAGUGGAACCCUCACUCGGUUAGGAGAUUGAGGAGAGUGGAGUAGGCAAGGAAGUGUCGAACCACUAUAAACCCGAGUUUGAAUUCUCUAACUUUAUCUCUUUCCUUUAUUUAUUUUGUGCAUAUAUUAUUGUGUGGAAAAAGAUUUUGAAAAACCCAAUUCACCUCCCCUUUUGGGUAUUUUCCUUAAUUAUUCAUAGCCUUUGUUUUAUCAAAAACCAUUAUUGGAAGAUUGUUGGUCAAGACCAACAUCCUCCAUGACCAAAAUAUUGUGAGGAAUGAACUCAAAAGGUUUUCCUUUAUGAUUCAAAAUUGCACUUCUUUCCUAGGAAGGUUCAAUUAAAAUUGGUUAGCCCCUUCAUUGAAAAUCAAAAUUUCCCUCAUGGAGUUUGAUUACUACUCAAAAAGUGCUAUUUGAUAGCUUGUAAUUAAUCCUUUUAAACACUUUUGAGUAGUAGUUAUUGUCUUUUAACCCAAUUAACAUGUUAAGGACCCUUGCAAUCAUUUCUAAUCAAAUUGUGUAAGUUUUGGUGUUUUUGUUAGUAAUUUGAUCACCAAAACUAUCCAAGAUUGAGGAGAGUUAUUUGGAAUCCAUGGCAAAGCAAUGAAGAGCUCAAAUUCAUGAAGAACCAAGCUUUGGAGCUCCAUAGCCCUUUGCCAAAGUCGUUCAAAGUAUGCAAGGAAAGAGCACUGGAGAGAGGAAAAACAAAGUGAAGAAAACAGAGGAAAGCCAGCUGCAGUCUUCAUGUGCACUUUUGGAGCACUUCCCGAAGUCCAUUUUCUACAUUCUAUAUACCAUUUCAAAGCUCAGGAAGUCAAGAAUCUAAUGCUUCAAACGGUGUGCGAUUCGGAGUUGAAACGAAGAAGUUACAGCCAUUGCAAGCAGAUCACUCCAAAGUGUUGCGAAAUCAGCCUUUUGUUGCGAGAAUUUCGCAGCCUUUUUGUACAGUGCUAUGGAAUUCCUCCUGAAGCUACCCGAUACAUGCCGCAAGCUGGAACGCUGAGAACCUCAAGGUGGAAGCCAAUUUCGCAGCCCUGCGAGUUUAACUUGUUGUUGCGAAAAUAUUUCGCAGCCCUCUUGGGUGUCUGCGAAAUCUCGCAGACACCAUUUUCACCUGCGAAAUGGUUCCUGAAGCUUCCCGAUAUUUUCCACCGACUCUUUUGGAUAUUUUUCUUCAGAUAUUUUUGUAUAAAUUUCCAUUUUCUCCUUGUAUUCAACCUCUCAUGUACUUCCUUAGCUAGGAAGUAUCCAAGGAAGGGUAAAUUACCUUCCUAUAUAAACUCUCUUGUAAACACUCUCAGGAGACGCAGGAUCAUAUAUGUAAUCCAAUAUAUAGAAUAUACAGAGCCUUGCUUUGUUUUUCCUUCUCUUUCAUUUUUCAUUUCUUUUUCUUUCUAGCCAACCAAACUCUGAGGAUUUUUCCACAGAGGAUGAGAGGCUAAGCUUUUUGUCUCUUGGAGUGAGGAAAGCCGGGUAAGUUUCCACAUACAUAAUUUGGAAGUUUUGUUGUUUUAGUUUUUAAUGAAGAGAAAGUGUGACCCGUUAAUGGUUUUUAUCUUUUUAGUUAACUUAAAACGCCUUUAAAUCACCUGGGCCAACACUUGGUAAGGCAAGUGAUUUCCAACCAUGGAAAUGCACUAGUUUACCCCUUGCGAGCCUUUGGGAGGUGACUUGAAGGUAGGAUUUUCUAGAAUAGCCAACACUUGGUAAGCUUUUGGACUCCAAGGAGACAUCCAUUAGUUAUCUCUUGCGAGCUUUUGACGGGUAAUCCAAGGUUAAAGAUCAUCUUGAAUGGCAAGUGCUCGUGAGAGGCAUGAACCAUUGCAAGGUGCAUCAGUGAGAGGGAUUUAGUGUUUGAACCCAUUAAUGGGAAGCAUCUGUACAACACCGGUUAGAGAAUUAACUAUAUGUUAAUUCUCUAAUGCGAGGAAAAUAAACAAGUGACCGGAACUCUCCUUUUUGUAUGAGGAAUCUGAGCCUAGUGAUCUGAAACUCCAAGAAACACUUUUCUUUGUAAGUAAAAUCAGUUACUAUUUUUUGUUAGUUUAAAACCGAACUUUUUCCAUUUAAACAAGUUUAUGUUUUCUUUUAAAGCUAACCUUGAAAUGAAAAGGCACCAAUUCAGCUUUGAAUUAAUAUCAUUUGCAAAGUGAAAACUCAUCCCAGUGAACGAUCCUAGAGCCACUAUGCUAUAGUAGCUUUGUCUUUGCUACCCUAGUUCAUGGUGUAAUAGGUUAUAAAUUUUGUUGAUUACUCCCUCAAUCAAAGAGCACUAGCUGGACACGAAUCAGCUGAGACACCAAGUGGGCACGAAUCAAAUGGUGCCGCUGCUAGGGACGAAUCAGAGUUGUUGGGUUUCUAAAUUCCAAGAAUGGUAAUGUGUUCAAGGUUAAUGGCCAAAGAGUCAAGCCCUUAGUAGGAGUAAAGGAUGGGAAGGAAUUCCCCUUUGAAAAGCAAUGAAAUGGAGGCCAAUCAUUAGCCCAAGUGAGCUAAUUCCAAUUGUAUAUAAUUAGGAAGAUGGGGAGUAUGUUUCUUUUUUUUUUUCUUUUUUUAUGUGUUUAAUUUAUGUCAUGAUAUGCAUUUGGGUAGAUGUGAUUUUUUUUUUUCUCACCCUUCUCCUUUCUUGCUUAAGCUUUGUUUGUAAUAUCAUGCACCUUUCAACAAUUGUCAAAGGGUGGAGCAUAGCUAGGUUAGUGGGGAAGAGUUGUUGAACAAGGUUGAGGUAUUAAGGUUACACCUAGGUUAGUGCAAGUAUUUGUUAAUGUUGCACCUUCAUUUUAAGCAUGGUAUCACUUUUAGUUGCUUUGUUCUUAAGAUUUACUAUAAGUAGCUUGUUUUAGAGCGUUUUGUUUUCUUAUUAGUUUUUAAGAUUGACUACUCAAUCACUUUGUUUUGGUGUUAUUUAAAUUGAAAAUAAAUAAGAUAGAGGUGCUCAAGUAAUUUGAAACAACUUCAUAAGGAAGAGUUUUAUUUAUAUAUACAUUUUAUACUCCUUUGAAAUAGAUUAACAUAUGAUUUAAAGAAAUAUAUAUAUAAUGAGAUUUAUCAUUCAUUUAAAGCUAAAAUGAUGAUAAAUAAAUAGAUUAAGGGAAAAGAAUAAAUGAUAAAAUAUAAGGAUGACCAUUUUAAAAAAAAAAAAAUUCCACUUUGAACUUAACCAAGUCAAACCACCUUAAGUGAAAAAAAUACUUCUUGAUCCUCAAGUAAAUUAAUAAUAAUUUUAUCAUUACCAUGAUAUCAAUCUAAUAUUCCUUAUCCAAAUAUCUUAUCUUCUUAUCUAUUUCCAUUAAACUUAAUAAAAACAUUUUUUUAGAUAAACAAAAAUAAAAAUAUUAAAAAUACAAUUAAAACCAAAAAACUUAAAAAUUAAAAAUAUAAAAAUAAAAUACCAAUUCCCAUUACAAAUUAGAGUCUAUUUGGUAGUGA
RNAcentral lists this long non-coding RNA (13501 nucleotides) under Vitis vinifera (wine grape). RNAcentral's name for it is "long non-coding RNA (VVIN_LNC003906)". The record is from RNAcentral. Lineage: Eukaryota; Viridiplantae; Streptophyta; Magnoliopsida; Vitales; Vitaceae.